UGCUCCAAGAGUUUAUAUAUGUGUUGCUGCAGUUGAAAAGCUCGUAGUUGGGGUUUCGGAUGCCUGGCGGGUCUCGGUUCCGGCGGUUUGGGAUUUUUUCUCGGCGCCGGUUAAACACACGCACCCGCGUGUGGCCACCCCCAGGCCCUUUUUUUGUUCAGGCGAGGUGAGUCCCCUCACCCCGCAUCUGAGCGCGUUACUUUGAGUAAAUCUGAGUGUUCAAAGCAGACGAGUUUCAGUCGUCUUGAAAGUUGUAGCAUGGAAUAACGUGAUAGGACUCCGGUGGCCCUUUUCAGUUGGUCUAAGCCGUUCCGGAGUAAUGACUAAGAGGGACAGUCGGGGGCACUCGUACUUCCUUGUCAGAGGUGAAAUUCUUGGAUUUAGGAAAGACGAACCACUGCGAAAGCAUUUGCCAAGGAUGUUUUCA
Molecule: ribosomal RNA, 427 nt
Filed under: uncultured eukaryote
Lineage: Eukaryota
Description: SSU rRNA
Rfam family: Eukaryotic small subunit ribosomal RNA
Source: RNAcentral